UGUAUCGUUUAUCGCCAAUGGUUGACCGUCCAUCUUAUUUCAAAAAAAUUAUGAUUAGUAUUUCUGUUGUUAUUAGAUGAUAAAACAUGAAUAAUACUUUAUGUGUGACUAUUUUUUAAAAAAUUUCUUUAAAAAUUUUUCAAAUAAGAUAGAUGGUCAAACAUUGAAUACGGAAACUCACAACUGUACUAGGA
This is a non-coding RNA of Oryza barthii, 194 nucleotides long. The record is from Rfam. Lineage: Eukaryota; Viridiplantae; Streptophyta; Magnoliopsida; Poales; Poaceae.